AAAGCAAGUCCACCGACCGGUCUCAAAUUGAAACAUCAUUGAUCAUAAGUGUAUCCCACAACAACCCUUCAAACUUUCUUGUUUGAAAACCUAUCUAGUAGCAGGGCUAAGCAUCGCUACGCUGUUUUAAAAUAAAACAGGUGUCAAGGACAGGAUAACAGGUAACAAGGUAGUAAAUGCAGCAAGUAGGUUAACCCAAUUCUCAACUACCUAAUGCAGCAUUUUCAAUUCAUAAGAGAUAAAAGAUUUAAAACAUUCAAGGAGGGGUUAAUGCAUCCGGGGCUUGCCUUGGUUGCAGGGCAGAGAGGGACCCUCGGAGACUUCCCAAGUCUCGGAUCCGACUUCCUCGAACGGAGCACCGACCUCGGGGUUCGGUUCAACGGGCGCUCCUUCGGUCACGGACACUAUACGCAAAAUGAUGAAUGCUCAUGAUAUGCGUAUGACAAAUAUGCAAGAAGGACCAAAUCGAGUACAACUCGCCUUCUUGAUGCAAUACAGAAUUAUCACUAAAUAAAGUUGUUUAACAUCUUAAUGUUUUUACCCAAGAGGUUGCAUCUGUAAAAUAAAAUCUCUUUUAAUUCAUAAUUAACCUGAAUUAACUAAUUAUUAAUCCUAUUUACCUUAAUUAAUUCUUAAUCAACUGCUAAUGACAGUAAUUAAGCAUUAAGGCUAAACAAUAAUUAAAUGCCAAAGGUCAUUAGGGUUAAUGACCUCAGGUCAUCACACAAUCCCCAAAAUCACUCAACCCUAAUUAUGAGGAUUUCACUAAUCACUAUCUAAUUAUUUUGGAAUUAUUAUUUAAAUACUAAAUAAGGAUUUAUUAAUAUUUUAAUUAAACAUUAUCCAAAUGCCACCAAAUUUUGUGUGGAGCCAGGGAAUAAUAGUCAGAGGCUCCCCACAAUUUUUGGUGAUUUUUGGACAUACAAAUAAAUUAUUAAAAUUCCUAGAAUUUGUAUUCACUAAUUAACAGAGCAAAUUUUUACAGACAUGUAAACUACCAGAAAACAGAAUCCACUAUUUUUCUUGUGUUCUACCCACUUUAUGGAACCUACACAAAAACUUUCAUCAUUUUUGGAUUAGCACACAAUUUAUCUCAUAAUUUCAAACAUCAAACAAAAAUUGCAUAAAAAGAAAAAAAGAAAAAGAUCUUUGCGCAGUGGGCGGCCUGGAUUUUGGCCCGCAGGCCGGCCCAUGCGCGCUCGGCCCGCGCACGCACUGCGCGCGCUGCCCCUCCCCUCAUGUGGACACUGACGAGCGGGCCUCGCUCGUCAGGCUCUCCCUUCCCCUCUCUCUGCGGAAGCUGACAGGCGGGUCCCGCCCGUCAGUUUCGCCUCCCUCGUUCACGGCGGUGCUGCCGCCGCUCCGGCGACCGUUAGCGAGUUCCUCGGCCCCCGCGCGCGUGCGCACCAGCACCGCGUCAACCCUGCGACUCCAAAGCUACCACUCACGGAUGCUCUCCCGCUCUCUUUUCACCUCAACCACACAAAUGGUGGACGGCCGCGUCGGUCGCCGAGGACCGGGC
RNAcentral lists this long non-coding RNA (1522 nucleotides) under Sorghum bicolor (sorghum). RNAcentral's name for it is "long non-coding RNA (SBIC_LNC009352)". The record is from RNAcentral. Lineage: Eukaryota; Viridiplantae; Streptophyta; Magnoliopsida; Poales; Poaceae.